Podarcis lilfordi (Lilford's wall lizard) is the source of this 69-nucleotide non-coding RNA. The record is from the annotation of a GenBank genome assembly. NCBI's taxonomy places the organism in Eukaryota, Metazoa, Chordata, Lepidosauria, Squamata, Lacertidae.
GGAUAGCUCAGUGGGUACAGCAUGAGACUCUUAAUCUCAGGGUCAUGGGUUUGAACCCCACCUUAGGCA